CUACGGGGGGUGCAAGCGUUAAUCGGAAUUACUGGGCGUAAAGCGCGCGUAGGCGGUUUGCUCAGUCGGAUGUGAAAGCCCAGGGCUCAACCUUGGAACUGCAUACGAUACUGGCAAACUAGAGUGUGAGAGAGGAUAGUGGAAUUUCCGGUGUAGCGGUGAAAUGCGUAGAUAUCGGAAGGAACAUCAGUGGCGAAGGCGACUGUCUGGCUCAACACUGACGCUGAGGUGCGAAAGCGUGGGUAGCAAACAGAAUUAGAAACCCUUGUAGUCC
RNAcentral lists this ribosomal RNA (274 nucleotides) under uncultured bacterium. Its description in RNAcentral is "partial 16S ribosomal RNA". It matches the Rfam family "Bacterial small subunit ribosomal RNA", at positions 523 to 796 of the family's 1533-position model. The record is from RNAcentral.